This 1440-nucleotide unclassified non-coding RNA is filed under the name uncultured Eurotiales. Its description in RNAcentral is "sequence contains 18S rRNA gene, ITS1, 5.8S rRNA gene, ITS2, 28S rRNA gene". The stretch from base 497 to 1440 matches the Rfam family "Eukaryotic large subunit ribosomal RNA", at positions 1 to 961 of the family's 3401-position model. Lineage: Eukaryota; Fungi; Ascomycota; Eurotiomycetes; Eurotiales. The record is from RNAcentral.
GGAAGGAUCAUUACCGAGUGCAGGUCUGCCCCCGGGCAGGCCUAACCUCCCACCCGUGAAUACCUGACCAACGUUGCUUCGGCGGUGCGCCCCCCCGGGGGUAGCCGCCGGAGACCACACCGAACCUCCUGUCUUUAGUGUUGUCUGAGCUUGAUAGCAAACCUAUUAAAACUUUCAACAAUGGAUCUCUUGGUUCCGGCAUCGAUGAAGAACGCAGCGAACUGCGAUAAGUAAUGUGAAUUGCAGAAUUCAGUGAAUCAUCGAGUCUUUGAACGCACAUUGCGCCCCCUGGCAUUCCGGGGGGCAUGCCUGUCCGAGCGUCAUUGCUGCCCUUCAAGCCCGGCUUGUGUGUUGGGUCGUCGUCCCCCCCGGGGGACGGGCCCGAAAGGCAGCGGCGGCACCGCGUCCGGUCCUCGAGCGUAUGGGGCUUUGUCACCCGCUCGAUUAGGGCCGGCCGGGCGCCAGCCGGCGUCUCCAACCUUCUAUUUUACCAGGUUGACCUCGGAUCAGGUAGGGAUACCCGCUGAACUUAAGCAUAUCAAUAAGCGGAGGAAAAGAAACCAACCGGGAUUGCCUCAGUAACGGCGAGUGAAGCGGCAAGAGCUCAAAUUUGAAAUCUGGCCCCUCCGGGGUCCGAGUUGUAAUUUGCAGAGGAUGCUUCGGGUGCGGCCCCUGUCUAAGUGCCCUGGAACGGGCCGUCAGAGAGGGUGAGAAUCCCGUCUUGGGCAGGGUGCCCGUGCCCGUGUGAAGCUCCUUCGACGAGUCGAGUUGUUUGGGAAUGCAGCUCUAAAUGGGUGGUAAAUUUCAUCUAAAGCUAAAUACCGGCCGGAGACCGAUAGCGCACAAGUAGAGUGAUCGAAAGAUGAAAAGCACUUUGAAAAGAGAGUUAAACAGCACGUGAAAUUGUUGAAAGGGAAGCGCUUGCGACCAGACUCGGCCCCGGGGUUCAGCCAGCACUCGUGCUGGUGUACUUCCCCGGGGGCGGGCCAGCGUCGGUUUGGGCGGCCGGUCAAAGGCCCCAGGAAUGUGUCGCCCUCCGGGGCGUCUUAUAGCCUGGGGUGCAAUGCGGCCAGCCCGGACCGAGGAACGCGCUUCGGCACGGACGCUGGCGUAAUGGUCGCAAACGACCCGUCUUGAAACACGGACCAAGGAGUCUAACAUCUACGCGAGUGUUCGGGUGUCAAACCCGUACGCGCAGUGAAAGCGAACGGAGGUGGGAGCCCCGCAAGGGGCGCACCAUCGACCGAUCCUGAUGUCUUCGGAUGGAUUUGAGUAAGAGCGUAGCUGUGGGGACCCGAAAGAUGGUGAACUAUGCCUGAAUAGGGCGAAGCCAGAGGAAACUCUGGUGGAGGCUCGCAGCGGUUCUGACGUGCAAAUCGAUCGUCAAAUUUGGGUAUAGGGGCGAAAGACUAAUCGAACCAUCUGGUAGCUGGUUCCUGC